UCUUCUCCUCUCGACACCUAACUGUAAUUAAUUUAAUAAUAUCGAAGCAGAAACCAAAACAGAAACGAAGAAGCACAACAAUUCACAGUUCACCGAACCACAAAAAAAAACAAAAGAACGAAGAAACGCGGUGGCGGUUGCGGUUGCGGUGGCAGUGGCGGAGAAGGGAAAGGUGAAGCUUCAAAAGCUAUUCGUCACACACACACACAUCUUAUUCUGUCAGUACUUUGAGCGUCUGCCUCUUCCCCACACUUUUUGUUUUUGCCAACGAAAAAUCAGAAACCAAAGCGCGCUGCUCGAAGCGAAACGAACGAAUGAGCGGCGACGCGACGCCGUCUCCGCUGGUAGAGUAUUGUAUUGGCCUGACAGCGGCGCUGGCAGUGGCAGCACCAGCAGCAGGUGGUCGAGACAUCAGCAGCGACGAUAAAGGACAAAUAUGAUAUGCAAAGUGCAACAAUGGCAAAAAUUUAAACGCAUAAUGCGUGCUCAAUGAACAAACAAAUUACGUACAAUUUGCAAAUUCAAUAAAGACGACUGACCGACGAACGUAAACAGAAGUAGCUAAAGCAGAAAAUGAAGAAGAAAAAGUAAGAGCAAAAUUAAAUACAUUGGAUAACAUUAA
Molecule: small RNA, 622 nt
Filed under: Drosophila pseudoobscura pseudoobscura
Lineage: Eukaryota; Metazoa; Arthropoda; Insecta; Diptera; Drosophilidae
Description: GA30796
Source: RNAcentral